Molecule: transfer RNA, 74 nt
Filed under: Thermasporomyces composti
Lineage: Bacteria; Bacillati; Actinomycetota; Actinomycetes; Propionibacteriales; Nocardioidaceae
Also listed under: 1 other name
Rfam family: tRNA
About the family: Transfer RNA (tRNA) molecules are approximately 80 nucleotides in length. Their secondary structure includes four short double-helical elements and three loops (D, anti-codon, and T loops).
Source: Rfam by way of RNAcentral
GCGCCCGUAGCUCAGCUGGAUAGAGCACCGGACUUCUAAUCCGAUGGUCGCAGGUUCGAAUCCUGCCGGGCGCG